Molecule: long non-coding RNA, 534 nt
Organism: Oxyura jamaicensis (ruddy duck)
Lineage: Eukaryota; Metazoa; Chordata; Aves; Anseriformes; Anatidae
Exons: 2
Source: RefSeq, a predicted model, not a curated record
UGAACGCUGCCGCACCACUUAUAGGGCAUGACCUUUUAUCAUCUUUUGUGAGCUACAGAGCUGUCAGAACAUAGGAACAAGGUGGAUGGGUCAUAGCUCUGCUGCCUUUUCUGGAGGCAUGUUCAGAAUUGCCACAUCAGACAAGACACCAGACACAUCAACAACAUUGAUCUGCUGCCUACACUUCAACCUCAGCCCCUGAGCGACAAAGACAAGUAGUUGUAUCGGGGGCCUAUGAUUUUAUUCUACAAUUAUCAGCAGUAUGACUUGCCCAUAGUCAUGAUUGCUCAUGGAUUGACAAGAAAUACAAGAAAAUGAUGCCACAAAAGAAGAAGCACCUUUCAAUUGCUUUCAUAAAAGUAGUACAGCAAACAGCUCUAUUUCUCAACAAGUUGAAACCGAUUGAGUCAAUGUCCCAGUUUCACAGGUGUGCCCCUCUCCUAAAGAUUCCCUCCAGAUCUUAGCCACCGGUUUCCUGUUUCUCAGCCUUACCCCCAUCUUGCCAACAUAGAUACCAGCAGGUACAAACUAGAA